GCGAACGCUGGCGGCAGGCCUAACACAUGCAAGUCGAGCGGGCGUAGCAAUACGUCAGCGGCAGACGGGAGAGUAACACGUGGGAACGCGCCCUUCGGUUCGGAAUAACUCAGGGAAACUUGAGCUAAUACCGAAUACGCCCUAACGGGGAAAGAUUUAUCGCCGAAGGAACGGCCCGCGUCCGAUUAGCUAGUUGGUGAGGUAAUGGCUCACCAAGGCAACGAUCGGUAGCUGGUCUAAGAGGAUGAUCAGCCUCACUGGGACUGAGACACGGCCCAGACUCCUACGGGAGGCAGCAGUGGGGAAUAUUGGACAAUGGGCGCAAGCCUGAUCCAGCCAUGCCGCGUGGAUGAUGAAGGCCCUAGGGUUGUAAAGCUCUUUUACCCGGGAUGAUAAUGACAGUACCGGGAGAAUAAGCUCCGGCUAACUCCGU
This 433-nucleotide ribosomal RNA is filed under the name uncultured bacterium. Its description in RNAcentral is "bacterial SSU rRNA". It matches the Rfam family "Bacterial small subunit ribosomal RNA", at positions 29 to 506 of the family's 1533-position model. The record is from RNAcentral.